Long non-coding RNA from Amblyraja radiata (thorny skate), 64 nucleotides. RefSeq lists it as uncharacterized. NCBI's taxonomy places the organism in Eukaryota, Metazoa, Chordata, Chondrichthyes, Rajiformes, Rajidae. The record is from RefSeq and is a predicted model, not a curated record. The transcript is spliced from 3 exons.
AGGUGAUAAUAAAAGGAUACAAGGAUGGGAACAGUGGAAUUAGUAGGAUGACUAAAGUGGGGGA